GAUGAACGCUGGCGGCGUGCCUAAUACAUGCAAGUCGAGCGAACAGACGAGGAUCUUGCUCCUCUGACGUUAGCGGCGGACGGGUGAGUAACACGUGGAUAACCUACCUAUAAGACUGGGAUAACUUCGGGAAACCGGAUCUAAUACCGGAUAACAUGUUGAACCGCAUGGUUCAACAGUGAAAGACGGUUUUGCUGUCACUUAUAGAUGGAUCCGCGUCGCAUUAGCUAGUUGGUAAGGUAACGGCUUACCAAGGCAACGAUGCGUAGCCGACCUGAGAGGGUGAUCGGCCACACUGGAACUGAGACACGGUCCAGACUCCUACGGGAGGCAGCAGUAGGGAAUCUUCCGCAAUGGGCGAAAGCCUGACGGAGCAACGCCGCGUGAGUGAAGAAGGUCUUCGGAUCGUAAAACUCUGUUAUUAGGGAAGAACAAAUGUGUAAGUAACUAUGCACGUCUUGACGGUACCUAAUCAGAAAGACACGGCUAACUACGUG
RNAcentral lists this ribosomal RNA (497 nucleotides) under uncultured bacterium. RNAcentral describes it as "partial 16S ribosomal RNA". It matches the Rfam family "Bacterial small subunit ribosomal RNA", at positions 28 to 507 of the family's 1533-position model. The record is from RNAcentral.